CAAGGGAUGGAAUAAAACUGGAAAAGAGCAAAAACAGUACUGAGACAUGCCUCAGCUCUCUGUUUAGAAGGAACUUUUGAUAAGAAACUGGUCAGCCAUUCUGAGAGUGGUGGAAAGCCUGUCAAGGUCACUGCCAAGGACAAGAGAGUCAAUUAGUAUGCAGAUCAGAGCCAAGGAGUUCAAAGGAACCAAAUCAAAGUGGGACUCUCACAUGAAAAAAUCAAGGACGGCAAAAUAAAAGGACUUCAAAACAAAGUCCAGGCCUCAAAGAACAUUGUCAGAGAAGCCAUAUACUGGAAUGAAGCAUGACAUGGGAAAAACCCCAAGAUCAAGCCCUUUUUUUUUGAGACUUUUGGUUCAGUAAUCAGGGCUGCUGUGAAGUUACAGUCGCAAUAUAAAGAUGACAAGAAGUUCAAGACAAGAUAAAGGACCCCUGUGAGAUUGGACACUGAGAGAAGGUGAUGAAAGGAAGGGCUGUUUUUCCAGCUGAGUGCAGAGUACAGCAGAGAAAGAAUGGCCUACAGUGACCUGGACCAUCUGAGCCACAAAUAUCUGUCACUGCUGUCACAGAGGUGCAAAGUCGUGCUCCUCUAUGGAAGGAUACUCUCAAGGCAAUCACUGAUGCUGUCUGUUCCAGGCUUUUUUCCUCUCCUUAUACAUUUUAAUAACCAAACCAUUAACAUAUAGAAACAUUUCAUCAUAAUCCAGGUGAGAGGUAGCUAGAAUUUUUUUUUAAUUUGCAUUUGUUCUAAAUUUCAACGAAAAUAUAAAAUUACAAAAUCUCGACAGAUGACUUAAGGAGAUAUUAUUAAUGGGAAUAUUAAACAAUUAAAAUAAAACCUUUAAUGUAAUUGAACAAAGUAUUCAUCCACCCUGCCAAAUGGAGUGAGUAGUUAUAGUUUUAGAGAGGACAGAUGGAUAUGUGUUAAGCCAUCUAGCUUCCUGGGUAGCUCAAGAAAUCAGUAAGCUACCUAGAAAGACAUGGAUAACUGGACCUGUGGGAUACUCAGGGCUAAAUGAUCCUAAAAGGAAGACAUCUUUAUUUCAACAGUAUUUACAGUCACUCAUUAGAGAAAUUGAUAAUCAUUAAAGAAUUAUCUUCAAGGAGAAAAUACAAUUCAUGGUUUCAUACUUUACAGACUCUCCCUGGAGAUGAUGAAUUAUUGGUAGUCCUGAGAAAGGCUCCUUCCUUUUCAUUAUUUCAAAGCAGACAGAGAUGAUGUUGUAGGUGAUGAACAUGGCUAAAAAACUGGUGAAAGCCCACUGUGACAGGGUGGGCAGCAAGGGUGGCUUGAAUCUAUUUGAGAAGGGCUAAAACACUCACUGGCUGUUCCAACUACAUUAGGCAAGAUUGCUAAUAAGUACCUCAGUUUAAGGUAAAACUCUCUGCUUUAACAGAAGUGCUUACCACAGCACAGGUUCAAACCUUGAUCAAACUUGAUCAAACAUUUGAUCAAGGGAAACAUUGUACAAUGUGGAUUUUAUUUGAAAGUUUUCCUUGAUCAUAUCACAACAAAUUACAUAAAAUCUAAUAUAGGAGUUGAUUAACAGGAAAAAUCAUAGGUCCAUCAAGUGUAGUAAUUAUCUUGUAGAAAUAGCUUGCAAUGGAUGCUUAAAGAAAGAAUUUAAGAAGAAAUCAAAUACAGACUCUCCCCUAGCACAGUAUUCCAGUUUCUGGUAAUAGGAUGUGCAAAGGGAUUCUGAGAUGAAUGGGACAUCUGAUGUCUCAAGAGGUUUUUCUUUCAUGGUUUCCAACUGUUGUCUGAAACUAUUUGUACUAGUAGCAUCCAAAACAUAUUCUGCAAGGACUUCUACUGUUAUAUCUAAAGAUACUUCCUUUAGUUUGUUUUAAAUGGGGUAUUUGAUAUUUCACUUUGGACAGGUAAUCCAAAUUACAUUAUUGUCUUUUUUUAAAAUAUAAUUAUAAUAUCUAGGAUAAGACCUUUGAUUAGUUAUCUUUACUUCAGGGCUUUUCCUUUGUAUAGAUUUGCAUUUUAUGUCACUUGCCCUUUCAUCACUCAGCUACUCGACAUUGUGUUCUUCUCAUCUAAACUUAGCACUCUGAGUACCAAAUACCUGGACUGAGCUAGUUCUACCCUCAGACAGGCAUCUAAGAGAAACAGAAUCAAUCAUUGGCUGGAAACACUCUUGUUUCACGCAGUGUUUUAUAGCAUCUCCAUUAAUUCAUUUCUCUAUAAGCCUCCUAAAUCUGGGUUUCUUUUUUUGAUAUUUCCAACAAAUUUACCCAGUAGAGAAAUUAAGAGUAUUGCUCUAUGGUUUCCUGGGUCUCCCUCCUCACUACAAAAUGCUUGAAAUAAUUUCUGUUGUGUUUCUCACCUCCACUCUUUUGGUACUGAGGUCAAUUUAAGCACUAGGUUACACACCACAGCGAGUAGUUUGGCAAUUUCAUAUUUGAGUUCCUUUAGAGCACUUGCAUGAUCUGGUCCUGAUGACUUGUCACUAUUCAUUGUAUAGAUUUGUUCUUAAACCUCUUCUACUGACACAUCAAUUUAAGAGUGUACCUUAGAUUUGUCCCUCCAUAAAGAGUAGUUCCAGUGUUGAAACCUCUCAAAGCUUCUCUGCAACAAGCAUGGAUGCAAAGAAUUCAUUUAGCAUUUCUAACAUGGACUGUUCUUCUUACAGCUGCAGGCCUGGUUGACUCCCUGGCAGCAUUCCUGCUUCUGAAGUAUUUGGAAAAAAAAAAAAAAAAAAAAGUCUUUAGUGUGCUAUUGUCCAAAAUUUCCUAUCGCUUGCAUUCAUUUUGUGUUCAGGCUGCUACAGGUUAUACUCUAUUCUGUUAUCCUUUGUCAGAAAAUAUUGCACGUGACACACCAAAUAAAGGAAGCAAACUGGUAGGAUUUUGGGGACAGGGCAAGAGCUACAGUGACAAAAAUACAAGACUUACCUAUACUUAAACAAUCAAGAACACCACCAAACAUCAUCCCUUGCCUACAGAUAUUGUGAAAAGGGUGAAUUCUACUAAAGUGAGAAUGAUAGCUAAUAUUUUACAAUUCCACUAAGGAUCUUGAGGGAAAAAAAGUUAAUUUCCAAUUUAAAUAUUUUUAUCAGAUUUGAGGAAAAUUGCCUGAUAUUUCUGAUGUCCACACUUUGGGGAAAGACCUCAACAAAGAGCAGUACAAUUUUUUUGUUUCAUUUUAACCAUGAAGUGGUUUCAGCCCAAAGAGUUAUUGCAAUGAGCUUCAUAAUAGAAUUAGUAGAAAAGUUUUAUUGGUUGGCUUCAAAUAUUUUCAUCCAGCUUUCAGUUCAAAUUUACAGUUCCAUUUGUAUGUUCCCCCUUUCAGUUCAUUGUCAUCCUAGAUUUUCAAGAAGUCUUCAUUAAUGUCGGCAUCUUUUUAUUCUCCCUUUCUUUCUGUAUUUUGUUUGGAGAAACAGAAAAUAGCUGAGUGUAAGUGUAACUUUCUCCUUUCUUAUCUGAAUUCCACCAACUGGGCAAGAACAUCCAUAACUGGAAGGACUUCUGCUCAUAAUGCUGUUGUGUAUUUGCUAAUGCAAUGACUUAAAGAUUGCAGAAAUAGUGCAAAAUAUAUAUAUAUAUAUAUAUGAAAUUGAGAGGAUGGUUGAGGAAAAGCUAACUAUGGGUUGCCUACAGAUAGAUCUUGUUGGCAGUCGAUAUUUAGGAGCAGGCUAGAAAUUUGGAAGAGAAAGAGAACACAAAAUGAAGUAGCUGGAAACAGAUGUUUUCCUGCAGCUUUCUGCAUAUGCUGCUCACAGAACUCAUUGUGAUUCCAGUACAAGGACAAAGACUCAGGACAAAACAGUAAGGCACACAGAUAAAUCUUACCCUACUUUUCCCCACAGUCAUUGAAAAUUAAAAAAAAAAAAAAGCAAGUAAUCUGAACCAUAAGCUUCUGAGGUGGUCCACAUCAUCAACACCAACUGUGGAUGAAUGCAGGAAGAAUGCUUCUCUACUCACCUGGAAAUGUGGGUGCUUUUUGACAUGGAAAAACAGACCUUUUUCAGUUUAGUGCUUCCAGUAUAUUUAAACAAUUAAAACACUAGAUUUCAUACCCGAAAGCAUAUACUCUUGAUUUUAUUACUUUAUUUUGCUUGAGAAAGCAAUUGACCUGUUGGAAAAGCAGAUGAAGUGUGCAGUAUAUUGUUGUUAUUGGCCCUAUUCUGUCUAAAGUUCUAGAGAACACUUUAUUUUUAAUUUUACUGAAUAUGUUUCCAUAUAACAUAGAGUGUUGCUUGUGCUGCAGUGUACAAUGUCUCAGCCCAUAUCCUUAUAGGUCUCAUAGUCUCAUAGUCAGGAGUAACAAAUUUGUGGAUUCUAUACCAUAAUAUUAUUUGCUUUAAUGUUUAAUCUCAGACACGGCGAACUGUUUACAACCAUCUUAACUUGGCAUUCUACAGAUAGCUGUUUCUCCUGCUUACAAACAAGUUACAUUAAUGUAAUGAUUCUGCAAUUACAUAAAAAGAUUACCAGACCACUUGAAAAUCCCCUACUAGCAUUCCCAUUUAUAUUAGCAUACUGUUCUCAAUUAGAGUAAUAUACGUCUGAUGAUUCACUUUACUGCAAAACUUAAUUUGGAUUUCUUGUUAAUCCACAUUGUAUCAGUGUUUAACACCAAAUAUAAAUAAAUGCCACUGAUUUUUUUUUUGCCAGAAACAAAAAAUAAAGUUAAUCGGACUGUUUUGUAGAACAAUUUUUAUGUACCAAAGUUUAUUAUUUGAUUGCUGCAAAAUAGCCCACCUUCAGUAGGCACAGCACAUCUGGUUGAUUUUCUGAGAGGGAAUAAAUAAAUUUCUGAGUUGAUGGGUAACAGUGAUGGUGACAGAGACAUCAGUGGCAUCCAGACAGUGAUCGUCUCACUGCAGAGGAGAAAGUAAAGAACAGAAGAAAGUAAAGGUGCCCACAUUUGCAGAAAGUUUUCUUUUCAAGGUGACCAUUAGCUUUCACUGAGGAUAAGCUUUUCAUCUGCCUUCAUCUGCAAAGCCAAGUUAUUAUAAUGGAAGCCACCAACAGGCUAAGGAGGGAAGGAAUUUGAAAGUUUGGUAGAAAUGUAUGUUAAAAAUCUGUUUAAGACAAUAUGAAAAACUGCUCACGUACAUACAAAUAGGUGAAAAUUCUUUUUCAGCUUUAUUUACCUGAGAAUGAAUUUCAGUUUGAAGAGGCCUUUAUGUCGUUUCAGGGAAAGCACCUAAGAUAUAAGCAAUUUUCAACAAGAGUACUACACAUUUGUCUUUAUAACAAUUUGUAUGUAACAGCUUUUAUGCAAAUGAUGCUAAAGUGGCACCUUUUUUCUAAAUUGGACAUUUUUAUGGUUAUAAUUUUCUUCUGUAAUAACAGCAAAAAAAUGGUUGUCCCAGUGGAGUUGAGCAUUUCAUCUCUAGUGCUGUUUUGUGAAGUUGGAAUGACAAGUUUCUUUCAUUUGCGCAAAGAAUGACAAAAAGAAGUAUUUUUUGUCAUUCUUGUCUGACUGGGUUGAGGCAGUUACACUUGGAAGCAGCACCAGUCCCCUGACACCAACCUUUUCUCUGCCAUCAAGAAUGGUAUCAUAAAGUCAUAAUAAAACUUAAAGGAACUAAAAAAUAUUGCUUUCUCUCUGUUUCUGCUCUUUGAAAGACAUAAAUCACUUUGUUAGUUUAAGUAGUUGCUGCUUUGGUGUGGUCUUUGGCGUUGAUUCGCACUCAUUCUCCAGAGGUCAGACAGGUGACUUUUACAGACCAUAGUUUUGGAUUUAAUUAACUAUGAUACGAGAGAAUUUAUGUAUUUCAUGCAAACAUUCCAAGGCAUUAGUAUAAUAAACCAAGUAACAUAGGCAGGUUCUUGUUGCUUAAUUGACUAUGCAGUUCUGCAACAGUGAUAUGAGAAAUUCUGGGUCUUUAACAACGAUUAAAUUCUAUCCCAGCUACUAAUUAAUUAGUGAUCUGCAACCAGGAAACUUUAGGAUGGAUGAUUUUACCCCCAUAAAGUGAUAAAUUGGUAGACUUUGAGACGUACAAUAAGGUUAACAAAAUCAAAUUGAAAUCUGAUACUUCAUCUCAUAAAGUAAAAUAUCAUAAAAUAUAAUUAAAUGUACUAUUUAGUAAAAAAUCCACAAAUGUUUAUUUGAAUGUGAACAGCCAAUAAAUACUGAAGCCCCUUGUGUGUCUCUC
Molecule: long non-coding RNA, 6120 nt
Organism: Corvus hawaiiensis (hawaiian crow)
Lineage: Eukaryota; Metazoa; Chordata; Aves; Passeriformes; Corvidae
Exons: 6
Source: RefSeq, a predicted model, not a curated record